RNAcentral lists this transfer RNA (75 nucleotides) under Alphaproteobacteria bacterium. Its description in RNAcentral is "tRNA-Val". It matches the Rfam family "tRNA". From Rfam's summary of the family: Transfer RNA (tRNA) molecules are approximately 80 nucleotides in length. The record is from RNAcentral. RNAcentral also lists the same sequence under 2 other names. Lineage: Bacteria; Pseudomonadati; Pseudomonadota; Alphaproteobacteria.
GGGCGCAUAGCUCAGCGGGAGAGCGCCACGUUGACAUCGUGGAGGUCCCUGGUUCAAUCCCAGGUGCGCCCACCA